GAUGAACGCUCGCGGGAGGCCUAACACAUGCAAGCCGAGCGGUAGAGUCUCUUCGGAGACUUGAGAGCGGCGCACGGGUGCGGAACACGUGUGCAACCUGCCUUUAUCUGGGGGAUAGCCUUUCGAAAGGAAGAUUAAUACCCCAUAAUAUACUGGAUGGCAUCAUCUGGUAUUGAAAACUCCGGUGGAUAGAGAUGGGCACGCGCAAGAUUAGAUAGUUGGUGAGGUAACGGCUCACCAAGUCAGCGAUCUUUAGGGGGCCUGAGAGGGUGAUCCCCCACACUGGUACUGAGACACGGACCAGGCUCCUACGGGAGGCAGCAGUGAGGAAUAUUGGACAAUGGGUGAGAGCCUGAUCCAGCCAUCCCGCGUGAAGGACGACGGCCCUAUGGGUUGUAAACUUCUUUUGUAUAGGGAUAAACCUAGAUACGUGUAUCUAGCUGAAGGUACUAUACGAAUAAGCACCGGCUAACUCCGUG
This 479-nucleotide ribosomal RNA is filed under the name uncultured bacterium. Its description in RNAcentral is "partial 16S ribosomal RNA". It matches the Rfam family "Bacterial small subunit ribosomal RNA", at positions 28 to 507 of the family's 1533-position model. The record is from RNAcentral.